RNAcentral lists this ribosomal RNA (5435 nucleotides) under Parcubacteria group bacterium CG10_big_fil_rev_8_21_14_0_10_41_35. RNAcentral's name for it is "23S ribosomal RNA". The stretch from base 1 to 3467 matches the Rfam family "Bacterial large subunit ribosomal RNA". The record is from RNAcentral.
GCACAAAAAGAGUAAACGGUGGAUGCCUUGACACAAGAAGCCGAUGAAGGACGUUGCAGGGUGCGAAAAGUCUCGGUGAGGUCCCAAGCAACCUUUGACCCGGGAAUGUCCGAAUGGGGAAACCCAUCUAGAUGGAAGAUCUAGAUAUCAUAUGCUGAAUACAUAGGCAUAUGGAAGGUAAGUUGGCGAACUGAAACAUCUUAGUAGCCAGAGGAAAAGAAAAAAACAAACGCACGAACUUUUACUUGCUAGCAUCAUGAGUAGCAAGUAAAGGUCUCGUGUUUAAUUCCGUUAGUAGCGGCGAGCGAAAGCGGACAAGCUAAAACGUUAUUGACUCAAGCAGAUUGAACCAAUCUUUCGAGAAAGGGGAUUUCUGUGGAAGGCUUUGCGACCAUAUGUCUUUAGCGGGUUGUGAGGAUAGUAUUUUUUAAAAGCGCAAACUUUUAAAGAGAGUUUAAUUUAACUUCCCUAGUAGAAUCUGCUGGAAAGCAGAACCAGAGAAGGUGAUAGUCCUGUACGCGAAAGGGGUUAAAACUCUUUAUAUUAUCUCUCGAGUACCACGGAACUCGUGAAAUUCCGUGGGAAUCUAGCGCGACUAUGCGCUAAAGCUAAAUACUUCUUGUGAUCGAUAGUGAACUAGUACCGUGAGGGAAAGGUGAAAAGCACCCCGAGAGGGGGAUGAAAUAGUAUCUGAAACCGUUUACUUACAAAGAGCUGGAGCCCGCAUUUAUGUGGGUGACAGUAUUCCUAUUGAAGAAUGAGCCAACGAGUUUAUACAUACUGCAGCUUAAGCUCCUUUGGAGCGGAGGCACAGGGAAACCAAGUCAUAACCGGCGUUUUUUUGUAGUAUGUAUAAGACCCGAAGCCGAGUGAGCUAGCCAUGGGCAGGGUGAUAUCGCUGUAACAAGCGGAGGAAGCCCGAACCCACUCGUCGUAUAACGCGAGGGGAUGACCUGUGGUUAGAGGAGAAAUUCCAAUCGAACUCGGCAAUAGCUGGUUCUCCUCGAAAUAGUUUUAGGACUAGCACGCUGUAUACCCGCGGGGGUAGAGCACUGAAUGGGAUGAGGUGGCUUUUGCCUACUUAUCCUAACCAAACUCCGAAUACCGCGGUUUUUGAGCAGCGUAGUCAGACCAUGGGGGCGAAGCUCCAUUGGUCAAAAGGGAUACAGCCCAGAUCGUCAUCUAAGGUCCCUAAAUUAUGGUUAAGUGGUAAAGGUGGUGUUAGGACUUAUACAACUAGGAGGUUGGCUUAGAAGCAGCCAUCCUUUAAAGAAAGCGUAAUAGCUCACUAGUCCAGUCCUUUCGUGCCGAAAAUUCAACGGGGCUAAACCAUAUACCGAAGAUACGAACUAAUUGCUUUUUGCGAUUAGUGGUAGAGGAGCAUUCCAGCAGCACUGAAGCGUACACCGCGAGGUGGCGUGGAGCGGCUGGAAGCGAGAAUGUUGGCAUAAGUAGCAUAAAGGCAGGCGAAAACCCUGCCCGCCAGAAACUCAAGGUUUCCUGGGCAACGACAAUCGACCCAGGGUGAGGCGAUCCUAAGCCGAGGCCGAAAGGCGUAGGCGAUGGAAGAGACGGUUAAUAUUCCGUCCCUAGUAAUUAUUUGUUUUGGAGUGACGCAGUUUUAACUGCUUGAACGCGCUUUUGGAUUGGCGCGUUUUCAUUACGGUUCUUCGGGAUCAUGAUGUGAAAAGAAAAAGCCUUCGGGCCGAUUCAAUUCAAGUACGCGGGCUGCCCAGAAAAUCUUCAAAGCGUUAAAUAAUUACUACCCGUACCGCAAACCAACACAGGUGAGUAGGUCGAGAAGACCAAGGCGUACAAGAGAACCCUUGUUUAGGAACUCGGCAAAACAGCGGCCGUAAGUUUGCAAUAAGGCCCGCCCUCUUUUUGAGGGCCGCAGCUAAAGAUUUCAAGCGACUGUUUACCAAAAACAUAGGUCCCUGCUAAAGCGCAAGCUGACGUAUAGGGGCUGAUGCCUGGCCAGUGUCCGAACGUUAAGGGGAGGGGUGAUAAGCCCUGAUCCGAAGCGCGGAUGAACGCCAGCGGUAACUAUAACCGUUCUAAGGUGGAAUUGCUGCCUUAGUGAGGUGAAAACCCUCCUUUGAACUUCGUUUUUGCCAGCGAAGAUGUAGAAGAAAAUUUGGCUAUAUGCUGGAACAUCUGGAGCAUCUGAUGCUACUAUGGUAUAAUAUAUCCAUAGAUAAUAUGAAUUAUUAUGCCAAGUAACAAAGUAAUCAGUGCAGAUAAUCAGCAGGAAAGACUAAAAACCAUAUGGUGGAUUAUAGGAUUUACCGAUGGCGAAGGUUGUUUUUCAGUAAGUAUCAUCAAAAAUGCCACCACUAAGCUUGGAUGGCAGGUAUUUCCUGAAUUCGUAAUUUCUCAAGAAAAGAAAAGUUUGAAAAAUCUUGAGCAAAUCAAAAUGUUUUUCAGGUGUGGAAAUAUAUACAUUAACCGCAAUACCAGAAAAAACGACAACCAUCGCGAGCCAUUGUAUAGAUACUGCGUAAGGUCUAUUUUAGAUCUUAAAGAGAAAGUUAUCCCGUUUUUUACUGAACAUCAACUAAGAACCGCCAAACAAGAAGAUUUUAAGAAGUUUGCUAGAAUUAUAAAGUUGAUGGAUGAUAGAUAUCAUCUGAAUAAAGCAGGAAUAACAAAAAUAGCGCGCAUUAUUGAAACAAUGAACUCAAGAAAAGCAGCACGGUUUUUAGAAUCCUCAGAGACUACACGCCAAAUCCGCUAAAGCGGCGGAAAGAUAUAGUCCGAUCUGCAUGGCGACAUGCAGAGCACAGUAGAAAUGACUGUGCCCUCUCAUAGAGAGAGUAACAAAAAUAAGCGAAAUUCCUUGUCGGGUAAGUUCCGACCUGCACGAAUGGCAUAACGACUUGAAAACUGUCUCAACAAGGGACUUGGCGAAAUUGCGAGAUGAGUGAAGAUGCUCAUUACCCAUGGUUAGACGAAAAGACCCCGUGAAGCUUUACUAUAACUUGGUAUUGAUAUAUUGAUUUUUGUGUUUAGAAUAGGUGGGAGACUUUGAAGCAUCCGCGCAAGCGGGUGUGGAGUCGCCAGUGAAAUACCACCCUCAAGUGUUGAUAUAUCUAACUGUGCGCCGUUAGCCGGCCGCAGGACAGUACCUGGCGGGUAGUUUGACUGGGGCGGUGGCCUCCUAAAAGGUAACGGAGGCGUUUACAAAGGUUGACUAGCGCUGGAUGGAAAUCAGCGCAAUAGGGCAAACCCAUAAGUCAGCUUUACUGCAAGGGCGACAACCCGAGCAGUCGCGAAAGCGGAAGUUAGUGAUCCGACCGUACGAUAUAGGACGGCGGAAGCUCAACGGAUAAAAGUUACUCCGGGGAUACAACUGUGUCCCUGCGCAAUGGCAACAUCGCGCAAAGUACAUGGCUAAUAACGGUGAAACCCAUAUGGUGGCUUUCGAGGCGCCAUGCGGGCAAUACCGUGGGAAGUCAGGGGAGCUAAUUAAGAUUACUCUUAUGAAGCUUACAAAAAAACAAAAGGCGAUUAUUUACGGCGUUAUAUUCGGCGAUGGAUAUCUGCAGAAAACAGGAACUCAGAACGCGCGCUUGCGCGUUGAGCAUUCCAAAAAGCAGGAAGCGUACGCGCAAUGGCUGUAUGAAAAUCUUGAAAAUAUUUUUUCUGACAAGCCAAAGCGAAUAGACCGCGUCCAUCCAAAAAACAAGAAGACAUAUGAAUAUGUCCGAUUGCAAAGUAACGCGUCGCCUUGGUUCGGGAAACUGCGGCAGAAAUUUUACGACAACAGCAACAAAAAAGUGGUGCCGUCUGAAAUCGCGCUUUUUCUUGAAUCGCCAUUAUCAUUGGCAGUAUGGUACAUGGAUGAUGGAUAUUAUUACGCGCGGGAUAAAUCAGCGCAUUUCUAUCUUCCGAACUAUAACCAAGAAGGCAGGGCGCGCAUUAUCAGCGCUCUAAAAAAUAAUUUUGAUAUUAAUGCAACAGCGUAUUGCAGGCCAGAUAGGAACGCGUGUCACAUUACUAUCAAUGGAGCUGAUCUACAUCAGUUCAAAAAUAUUAUAAAACCAUAUCUUAUACCUAGUAUGAGAUAUAAACUCCCCUUGACCCCGUAACGACUGAGAGCGAGAAAUAUGAAAGUUUUAGAGCUCGAGAUAUAAGUUAUUUUGCUUAUAUAAUAUGCCGUGCCCCGCCGAAUCGGCGGGUGAAGAUAUAGUCUACGCCUGAUAGCAAUAUCAGGAUAUAAUACUCAAAAAAGUAUUGUGAACAGGCUGAUCUCCCCCAAGAGCUCACAUCGACGGGGAGGUUUGGCACCUCGAUGUCGGCUCAUCACAUCCUGGGGCUGAAGAAGGUCCCAAGGGUCCGGCUGUUCGCCGGUUAAAGUGGUACGCGAGCUGGGUUCAGAACGUCGUGAGACAGUAGAUUGUGCUGUCUAUAAAUUUGGCUAUAUGCUGGAAACUCUGGAGAGUCCGCGGAGACAAUUGUAGGACUCGCGCAUCUCACACUACUAUGCUAUACUUGUGUAUAUGAAUAGUGACAAUGUGUUGAGUGCAGACAACCAGCAGGAAAGACCAAAAAUUCAACCAUGGUAUGUUGCGGGAUUUGUUGACGGCGAAGGAACAUUUCAUAUUGCCAUCAAUAAAUCAAAAGAAAAUCGUUUCGGUUUACGAUUUAUUCCGGAAUUCCAUAUAAAUCAGAAUUCUCCAAGCAAAGAUGUCUUGGAAGAUAUUAUGUCUUUAUUUGGUUGCGGAUAUAUCAAGCAAAACCACAAAACAAGCAUCCGUGAUAAAACAUGGGUGUAUGUGGUGCGAAAUCGAAAUGAUCUGCUGAAUAUUAUUAUUCCAUUUUUUGACGCGCACCCUCUAAGAACACAGAAACAAAAAGAUUUUCUUCUGUUUAAAAGAGUGGCAAGCAUGAUGUCCGGAAACGAACAUCAUAAAAAAAAUGGCAUAAAAAAGAUAAUCAGCUUGGCUUAUAACAUGAACCAAGCAGGCAGAUACAGAAAAGUAUCAAAACAACAUAUCAUAGAAUUAUUGGAAUCCUCAGAGACUAUACGCCAGACGCGCUGCGAAUAGCUGCGUAAAGAUAUAGUCCGAACUGCAUGGCGACAUGCAGAGUGUAUUUCGCAAUACACCACCACAGAGCACGCGCGGAUUAUAGAUGUGGUUUGCAAAGUAACAGAAUGUCGGUCUCCUAUCUACCAUGGGCGUUGAAUUCUGCGGGAGCUCCCCUCUAGUACGAGAGGACCGAGGGGAACGCACCUCCUGUGUACCGGCUGUGUCACCAGAUGCAGUGCCGGGUAGCGGCGUGCGGCAGUGAUAAGCGCUGAAAGCAUCUAAGCGCGAAGCACUUCCCAAGAUAAGAAUUCGUUAUAGGGCGGUCGGAGAUGACGACCUUGAUAGGCUCUAGGUGUAAGCAUAGCAAUAUGUUCAGCCAAGGAGUACUAAUAGCCCGAGUGC